GACAGACACACACACUAACAGACAUUUAGAUACACACAGACACAUGGACAGAGACAUAUACAUACACACACUGACAGACAUGGAUGCACACACACACACUGACAGACAUAGAUACACACACACACACACUGACAGACAUACACACACACACACUGACAGAGAUAGAUACACACACACACUGACAGACAUACACACACACACACUGACAGACAUAGAUACACACACACACUGACAGACAUAUACAC
This is a non-coding RNA of Pelobates cultripes (western spadefoot toad), 245 nucleotides long. The record is from the annotation of a GenBank genome assembly. Lineage: Eukaryota; Metazoa; Chordata; Amphibia; Anura; Pelobatidae.